This is an RNA transcript of Mus musculus (house mouse), 7311 nucleotides long. It is a transcript of the gene named SID1 transmembrane family, member 2, with no coding region annotated. The transcript is spliced from 26 exons. The record is from RefSeq and is marked validated. NCBI's taxonomy places the organism in Eukaryota, Metazoa, Chordata, Mammalia, Rodentia, Muridae.
UUUUUUUUUUUUUUUUGGUUUUUCGAGACAGGGUUUCUCUGUAUAGCCCUGGCUGUCCUAGAACUCACUUUGUAGACCAGGCUGGCAGACUUAAUUCUUACCCGUAAUCCCUCCCUUCUCCCAAAAAACGAUGACCAUGGCAGGCUGCUAAUGAACCCUUCUGGGUUUUACUUGACCCGUUUGUACAAUGACAAAUUGCCCUGUUGCUGCUCCAGGACCUUGUUACCCAGACUAACCUGCACUUGGCACUCCUGUGCCACAGCCUCCCAAGUAGCUGGGAUUUGUUGCUGCUCCUGCUGUGGUCUACUUCUUCAAACAUGCUGUGCUUAAACAGGCCAGCUAUAAUUCUGCUUUUUACCCAUUAAUUUAGAAAAGGGCAUAGUAGGUACUUAUUAAUAGUUGUGGGAAUUCAUAAAUAUUUAUAGCUGGUAGUUGGAAGAAUGUCCCCUUAGAAGACAGUCCAGACUGCUAUAAUCUUGUCAAUGGAUAGUACUCUGAGAAAGGGGGUACUAGCCUACAUGCUCCUAGCCAGGACAUCUGACAGCUUCAGGGUUGGCCAUAUUUUUUGUAUAAAGAUUUAUUUAUGUAUUAUGUGUAAGUACACUGUAGCUGUCUUUAGACACACCAGAAGAGGGCAUCAGAUCCCACAUUACAGGUGGUUGUGAUACCCCAUGUGGUUGCUGAGAUUUGAACUCGGGAGCUUCGGAAGAGCAGUCAGUGCUCUUAACUGCUGAGCCAUCUCUCCAGCCCAUUUUUUUUCUUUAAACACAAAAUUUGUCUACAGAAAUACAAUACAUCCAAUUGUAGCACACGUUAUUUAUUUACUUACCAUACUGGGGGUUUGAAGGGACUCUGACAGCUUGAGCUUGGUGAGCAUGGCUUGGCAGGCCUUGCCCUUCUCCCCCAUUUGUCUUUCUAAAAAGACAUUAUACAUUCCUAAAGCUAGCCCCCAAGGUCUGUUCCUUAAUUUAGCCAAUCCUUUCACCUGAGGUUGAUUACCAAGGUCCAGCUAUCAAAGUGUUGAAGUCCAGCAAUCAAAAGCUCCCUUUGGCUCGCCUAAUUAACAUGCCCAAUUAAAAUUAAACGCCUCAUCCUAACAUGGAGUUUCCCAUUUUACCUUUAUAAACCAUCAUUUCCCUAUGGGCCACAUUUGUCUCCUCUCUAGCCAGAGGCAGUCCUUUGUCCUCAAAUACCCCUUCCCCUUCUCCCUCAUCCACUGUCUCCUGUCUUUGUCUCAUAUUCCAUGCCUUCUGUGGCAAAUCAAUCUUCCUUUGUGCUGAGAACUUGGUUUGGGGCUCCCUGAACCGAUACUUUUCCUAACAGGAUGGAACCCAAGUGUGUGUGUGUGUGUAUGUGUGUGUCUGUGUGUCUGUGUGUGUGUCUGUGUUCUUUGUAAUGACCUUUAAUUACAUAUUGUGUAUAUGUGUAUGUUUCAGAGGUGCUACAGCAUGCAUGUGGAGGGCGGAUGACAACUUGCAGAGUCAGGUUUUUCCCCUCUUCCACCUUUUGGGUCCCAGAGAUGGUCAUCAGGCAUCUUGGCAAGCACCCGCACCCACUGAGACACUUCAUCCACCCUUGUACAUGUGUGUGUGUGUGUGUGUGUGUGUGUGUAUAUAUAUAUAUAUAAUUUAUUAUUGUUCAUGUGUCUGUGUGUGAAGUGCGCAAGCACAUGUUGCCAGGUGUCUGUGGAAGUCAGAGAACAAAUUUGUGGAGUUAGUUCUCUCCUCCCUGGUGUAGAGCUCAGGCCGGGCUUUCCAUGGCAAGUGCCUCUUCCUGAUAAGCCAUCUCAGCUCGGUUCUUGUGCAUAUUUUCCUAUUUAUGUCUGAAGUUUGGAUUAUAUACCACUUAUAUAAUGUUAUUCUUGAAUUCCCUCCUUAGAUGUCCCUUUGAUGGUAUUAAGAAUCUAUCUGCUUAACUUCAUAGUAGUAUCUCUGACCACCUCUUCCUUCACUGUGAACAAGCAGUUUCCUUUGAGCUUUCUCAAGAUCACAGGGAUGCAAAUUGCUGUCCCCAUAUUUUAUUUGUAUUUCUUAUUCGUAGGACACAGUCCCUGGAGUGGAAUGACUGGGUUGAAGGGUAUAGAGCUCUUUUAAGCCUAAGCCAAAACAGUUCCUCAGAAAGGUUUUUGCCAGUUGACAACGAAAGGUCAGAAUCUUUCCGUGGGCUUUGUUCAAACAAACAAAGCAGUUUCUGCAGAGUAGGGACAGAGCUCACAGGUUGGAAGGCAUCCUGGUUAUGGUGCCCUGGUUCUGGUUAUCCCCUCUACUGUGAGAGGGGAGCGGCCGCUGAGCUGCUCUCAGUGGGCAGGCGCUUUUAUGAGCCAAUGAGGGAAAAAGAAUGAUGCUGGGGUAAUGAUUUUGGAGCACAAUUCCUGUCUUGAGCAAAGAAAUCAUCUGUCAGCAAGACCCUGCACUUACUGGGCUCUGUGAAUCUUGCCAGCAAUGCCAACACCCAGCAGUAGAGGUGGGAGGAGGAUCAGGCGUUCAAGACUCUCCAAACUUACACGACCAGUUCCAGACCAGCCUGAGUUAUGUGAGCCGUCUCAAAAAGCCAAAAAAACGCGGACCACAAAAGCAAGAAUCCAAUACUUAGUGAUCCUUCGUGAAAAACCCAACUCCAGACGCUCACAGGACAGCGAAGGAAGGAGGCGGCGACGGCUGCGUGGGAAGUAGAGGCAGCCUGGCCCUUUAAAUCCGCGUCGGUUUCCCAUGACGUAAGCGGGCGGGCACAGCCCGCUGUUUACCGCGGCGCAGCUCCUGGUAGCUCCGAGUUCUGCGCCGCGUCCGCCGCCCUUAAAGGGCCCGCGUCCGGGAAGCCUUCGGGCCAGGGCCACCGCCGCCUCGGCUCUCCGGGCGCGAGCGGACGCCGGGUCUCCAGCCGGGCUGGGCCGGGCUGGGCCGGGCUGGGGUAGCGGGUCGCGGUGCCGCCCUCGCGAGCCGGGAUCCGCGCGAGGCCCAGGAGCGGCUCCAGGGAGGGGACGCGUCCUAUCUGAGGCCGGGGUUAAAGUUCUGGUCCCGGUGAGAUGCUGGAAGCUGCUGCGGCAGCCGCAACGCGCCCGGUCGCCGUCCCGUCGCCAAUCCCCGCCGUCCCGGGCCAUGAUCGCCUGGCGUCUGCCCUUGUGCGUGCUCUUGGUGGCCUCCGUCGAGAGCCACCUGGGGGCCCUGGGGCCCAAGAACGUCUCGCAGAAAGACGCGGAGUUUGAGCGCACCUACGCGGACGACGUCAACAGCGAGCUGGUCAACAUCUACACCUUCAACCACACCGUGACCCGCAACCGGACCGAGGGUGUGCGAGUGUCUGUGAAUGUCCUGAACAAGCAGAAAGGGGCGCCUUUGCUGUUUGUGGUCCGCCAGAAGGAGGCUGUUGUGUCCUUCCAGGUGCCCCUAAUCCUUCGAGGACUAUAUCAGCGGAAGUACCUCUACCAAAAAGUGGAACGAACUCUGUGUCAGCCCCCCACCAAGAAUGAGUCUGAGAUCCAGUUUUUCUAUGUGGACGUGUCUACCCUGUCACCCGUCAAUACCACUUACCAGCUCCGAGUCAACCGUGUGGACAAUUUUGUGCUCAGGACUGGAGAGCUGUUUACUUUUAAUACCACUGCAGCCCAGCCCCAGUACUUCAAAUACGAGUUUCCUGAUGGUGUGGACUCGGUAAUUGUCAAGGUGACCUCCAAGAAGGCCUUCCCCUGCUCAGUCAUCUCCAUCCAAGAUGUCCUGUGCCCUGUCUAUGAUCUGGACAACAAUGUAGCCUUCAUUGGCAUGUACCAGACGAUGACUAAGAAGGCAGCCAUCACUGUGCAGCGGAAAGACUUCCCCAGCAACAGCUUCUAUGUGGUGGUGGUAGUGAAGACUGAGGACCAGGCCUGCGGAGGGUCCUUGCCCUUCUACCCUUUUGUGGAAGAUGAGCCAGUGGAUCAAGGGCACCGUCAGAAAACACUGUCAGUGCUGGUCUCUCAGGCUGUCACAUCUGAGGCCUAUGUUGGUGGGAUGCUCUUUUGCCUGGGCAUAUUCUUGUCCUUCUACCUGCUGACUGUGCUGCUGGCCUGUUGGGAGAACUGGAGGCAAAGGAAGAAGACCUUGCUGUUGGCCAUAGACCGAGCCUGCCCAGAAAGUGGUAUCUGCAGGGGACAGGGGCUGGCUGGAUCUGUUGUGGGGAGAUGGGAGCAGGGAUGGGUAGGGAAUGGUCAGAAGAGGGUGGGUUGGUGGCUUCUUUAUGUUCGGCCUAGGAGUAACAUUUCACAACUGGAACCAGGCCUUGGCUCACCCCUCCAUAGACACCAGGAAACUGCCCUAUGUCUCAGGCAGUGCGGCCCAGCCUCAGGUUGUUAACUUCCAAUUCUCUCUCUCUCUUCCAUCACUUCUCUCUGCCCUCCCUCCUGCUUGGACCUCUCUCUCAGCUUCUCUCCUUGGUCACGCCCGGGUCUUGGCUGAUUCAUUUCCUGGCAGUGCCCCUUACGAGGGUUACAACUAUGGCUCCUUUGAAAAUGGUUCCGGAUCCACUGACGGGUUGGUUGAAAGCGCAGGUUCAGGGGACCUCUCCUACAGUUACCAGGACCGCUCCUUUGACGCAGUGGGUCCUCGGCCUCGACUGGACUCCAUGAGCUCCGUGGAAGAGGAUGACUACGACACACUGACUGACAUCGACUCAGACAAAAACGUCAUUCGAACCAAGCAAUACCUCUGUGUGGCUGAUCUGGCACGAAAGGACAAACGUGUUUUGCGGAAAAAGUACCAGAUUUACUUCUGGAACAUAGCCACCAUUGCGGUCUUCUACGCACUUCCUGUGGUGCAGCUGGUGAUCACCUACCAGACGGUGGUGAAUGUCACAGGGAACCAGGACAUCUGCUACUACAACUUCCUCUGUGCCCACCCGCUGGGCAACCUCAGCGCCUUCAACAACAUCCUCAGCAACUUGGGGUACAUCCUGCUGGGGCUGCUCUUCCUGCUCAUCAUCCUGCAGCGAGAGAUCAAUCAUAACCGGGCCCUGCUGCGGAAUGACCUCUAUGCUCUGGAGUGUGGGAUCCCCAAACACUUUGGUCUGUUUUACGCCAUGGGCACAGCACUGAUGAUGGAGGGGCUACUUAGUGCCUGUUACCACGUCUGCCCCAACUACACCAACUUCCAGUUUGAUACCUCCUUCAUGUACAUGAUUGCUGGCCUCUGCAUGCUGAAGCUCUACCAGAAGCGGCACCCAGAUAUCAACGCCAGUGCCUACAGUGCAUAUGCCUGCUUGGCCAUCGUCAUCUUCUUCUCCGUUCUGGGCGUGGUGUUUGGCAAAGGGAACACGGCCUUCUGGAUUGUCUUCUCCGUCAUUCACAUCAUCUCCACCCUGCUCCUCAGCACUCAGCUCUAUUACAUGGGCCGCUGGAAGCUGGACUCCGGGAUCUUCCGCCGCAUCCUCCAUGUGCUCUACACAGACUGCAUCCGGCAGUGCAGCGGGCCCCUUUACACGUCCCCGUGUCUCUGCUUCCCUCCAGGACCGCAUGGUGCUUCUGGUCAUGGGCAACAUUAUCAACUGGUCGCUGGCUGCAUACGGACUCAUCAUGCGCCCCAAUGACUUUGCUUCCUACUUGCUGGCAAUUGGCAUCUGCAACCUGCUGCUUUAUUUCGCCUUCUACAUCAUCAUGAAGCUCCGGAGCGGCGAGAGGAUCAAGCUCAUCCCUCUGCUCUGCAUCGUCUGCACCUCCGUGGUCUGGGGCUUCGCGCUCUUCUUCUUCUUCCAGGGACUGAGCACGUGGCAGAAAACCCCCGCAGAGUCCAGGGAGCACAACCGCGACUGCAUCCUCCUCGACUUCUUUGAUGACCACGAUAUCUGGCACUUCCUGUCCUCCAUUGCCAUGUUUGGGUCCUUCCUGGUUUUGCUGACGUUGGAUGACGACUUGGACACAGUACAGCGGGACAAGAUCUAUGUCUUCUAGCAGCAUCUGUGGUCCAGGCUUCACCUCACAGGCCUAGCGCCUGCCUCUGCAUCACCUGCCAGUUGCCACAAGAACACCACGGGUAUGAGUCCCAGCUCUGCUGCCCAGCAUUGGAUGUCGUGGCAAGACAGCGAGAUUCCAGCCCAGGCCUGACUCAGGAUAGUUCCUGGUGGCACUGAGCCUUGGAGUUGCCUCUGCGGAGGAGGAGGCCUGCUCCGCAUUCCCCAGACACUGGCCAAAUUGCUGCUUUCUUCUCAGUGUUGGGUCCUCCCCAGGACCCUAGUCUGUCCAUCUGUCUUGUUUAUCCACUGGCUCUCCAUUUGUCCCUUUGGAGAGGAAGGUGGGAAGGCAAUGUCCUGUCCCAUUUCAUGCCUUGCAUUCUGCCCAUCCCUUCCCUCCUCUCAGCUUAGGACACACAGCCCUUUCUUCUUCCCAUGCUCUGUCCAGGACCACAGUCUGGUGCCUGAUUCUUUGUCCAUCACCAGGACCUAAGCUCUCCCUGGGUCUGUAGCUGGCUGCUAUCACUGCCCACUCUGACCUGCCAGGACAGAUGCAGGUAGGAGACUUUGGGGGCUGGCCAGCUGGUGCCAGGCUUUCGGUGCUAAGGCCUGCAAGGGGCCUAGGUACGACCCUCCUCCCUGACCUGUGCUUGGAGCUGGCUCUUCAGCAGUGAGGGCCAGCCCAAGUUGAGUCUUCUGAUCGGGGACUGAAUUCAGAGGCCACCUCAUCCCACCAGCCACUAGAAUGAUGCCAGCACUAGGGUUGGUGGGAAGUGGCAACUCACUGUCCCCUUCCACACCCUCAGUCCUGCCAAGCCCCAGAUGGGGGCCUCUCAGUGCCAUUGACACUGCCCAAGAAUGUCUAGAGGCCACGGAACGGUGCCAAGCACACAGUCCCUUUUGCCUCUUUCACGGGAGCAGGAGUCCCAGUGCCUGUCGUGGAAAGGGAGGAACAUGCCAGGUCCCUGUGUGUCCUUGGCCCUGUCUCACCAAAGGACUCAGGGCUGGUUUCUGAGUUUCCGUCCAGUAUUUAGCCAAGUUCUGUGUUAGUCACGUAGGCCUAAGAGCCUUGGCGUUUACAGAGUCACCCAGCUCUGGCCCCUGGCCAUUCUGGUCCUUGGCGUUUACAGAGUCACCCAGCUCCAGGCCCCUGGCCACUUUGGUACUUGGUUGCCCUUCACUCCACCAGGUCCAUUCCAGAUGCCAAGAGUGGGCCCCAGGAAUGUGUUUCCUUCUCUCCACCAUGUUUUUAUAGCUCUUGGGCUGGGAGAAGAGGCGGGUCUGGGUCUUUGUUUCUGAGCUUUGUUCUAUGUUCCUCCAUGCUACGGUUGCAAUUGUUUUCUAUGAACGAGUACAUUCAAUAAAGACAACCAGACCUGGGAUUUGGGGUCUUACUGA